This 482-nucleotide ribosomal RNA is filed under the name uncultured bacterium. Its description in RNAcentral is "partial 16S ribosomal RNA". It matches the Rfam family "Bacterial small subunit ribosomal RNA", at positions 28 to 507 of the family's 1533-position model. The record is from RNAcentral.
GACGAACGCUGGCGGCGUGCCUAACACAUGCAAGUCGAACGGAACUGUUUUGAAAGAUUUCUUCGGAAUGAAUUUGAUUUAGUUUAGUGGCGGACGGGUGAGUAACGCGUGAGUAACCUGCCUUCAAGAGGGGAAUAACAUUCUGAAAAGAAUGCUAAUACCGCAUGACAUGUCGGAGCCACAUGGUUUUGAUAUCAAAGAUUUUAUCGCUUGAAGAUGGACUCGCGUCCGAUUAGUUAGUUGGUGAGGUAACGGCUCACCAAGACCGCGAUCGGUAGCCGGACUGAGAGGUUGAACGGCCACAUUGGGACUGAGACACGGCCCAGACUCCUACGGGAGGCAGCAGUGGGGGAUAUUGCGCAAUGGGGGCAACCCUGACGCAGCAACGCCGCGUGAAGGAUGAAGGUUUUCGGAUUGUAAACUUCUUUUAUUAAGGACGAAAAAUGACGGUACUUAAUGAAUAAGCUCCGGCUAACUACGUG